RNAcentral lists this ribosomal RNA (484 nucleotides) under uncultured bacterium. Its description in RNAcentral is "partial 16S ribosomal RNA". It matches the Rfam family "Bacterial small subunit ribosomal RNA", at positions 29 to 523 of the family's 1533-position model. The record is from RNAcentral.
AGUGAACGCUGGCGGCGUGCUUAACACAUGCAAGUCGAACGAGAAGGGGCUAUAGCUUGCUAUAGUUGUCAGCUAAGUGGCGCACGGGUGAGUAAUGUAUAGGUAAUAUGCCUCUUACUAAGGGAUAACAAAUGGAAACGUUUGCUAAUACCUUAUACUCCUUAUUAACAGAAGUUAAUAAGGGAAAGAUUUAUUGGUAAGAGAUUAGCCUGUAUUGUAUCAGUUAGUUGGUGGGGUAGUGGCUUGCCAAGACUAUGACACAUAACUGGUUUGAGAGGAUGAUCAGUCACACUGGAACUGAGACACGGUCCAGACUCCUACGGGAGGCGGCAGUGGGGAAUAUUGCACAAUGGACGAAAGUCUGAUGCAGCAACGCCGCGUGGAGGAUGACACAUUUCGGUGCGUAAACUCCUUUUAUAUGAGAAGAUAAUGACGGUAUUAUAUGAAUAAGCACCGGCUAACUCCGUGCCAGCCGCCGCCGUAA